This is a long non-coding RNA of Astatotilapia calliptera (eastern happy), 3575 nucleotides long. The record is from Ensembl. NCBI's taxonomy places the organism in Eukaryota, Metazoa, Chordata, Actinopteri, Cichliformes, Cichlidae.
CUGCAGAGACGCCGGCCCUCGUGGACUGAGAUUGCCCACCCCUGAGUUAUACCCUGGAGAUAAAUUGUUAAAAACUUCAGUUAGCGAACUCAGAUCAAUACUCACACUGGAUGAAUCAAAAAUUACAGAAUAAAAUACAGGCCUACAAGCCUCACACUUCCGGCCUCAGCGGUCUUUGAGUGCGGCCCUUGAGGACCGUUAAGGCUGCGUACUUUAAGGCUGCAGACCCUGAAUUGGGAUAGAGCCAUACAUACAUGUUUUGGUUCGUGCAACAGGACCGUCCGGUUAUUGUCUCCCCAGAAACAUUUCCGUUGUCUUUUUUCCUAUUUCCGUUGUGUUGUGUGUGCUUUUGCAGCGUUUUUCUUUUUGCAGCGUUUUUUUCUUUUUGCAGCGUUUUUUUCUAUUUGCAAGUGUUUUCUGAAGUUGCAGUCCGUUUGGUCUCUCAGGGCCACCGUACCCAUCCCAGUUUUAACAAAACUCUAGUUCUAUACAUUCACACCCAUCCAGACCACUCACAGUUCACAACACACCAACACAACAUAGCAUUGUCAAAACAGAGUGGGAGGGGAGGGCACAUCUCUCUACACCCCUUGUUCCCCAGCCCGUUCACACAUCUUGUCAGGCGGUUUGUGGAGUGCUUUUGUCACGGUUGGACGGUCCUCCCCGGACAACCUGCUUGUUUAUUUGUGAUGUGUGUGUGCCUUCCUCUCUUUCUGUCUUCCUCCCUAUUCUGCGGGUCGGGCUAUGCCUAGGGGCGGCGUCUCCGAGAGAGCGAGAAAGGCCGACCUCUGACCCGGAAGAGUAAUCUUCAGCUCCAGCUGCCGCUAAUCAUUCCUCACUAAACGGAGGUAUUUAACGGUGUGUCGAGACGGCAGUCGACGCUGGAUUGUACUCGGAGCUCGGUGGAGAAGUACGGGACGCAGGAGUGGAGAAAAAGGAUUCACUGGUGUUUUCGGGAGAAGGAAUUCACACGGAAGUAGUGCACACCGACCUCAUGGGGAAACUCACCUUCACCACUUUUGGGAAUUUAGAGAAAGGACAUUGUUGGAUAUCUCACUGUUUGAAGACUGUAUUUCAAGCACUGUAAAUAAACGCACUGUCGGCUUCAACCCAGAGCUCCGUGCCUGAAUCCAUACCGCUCAUUAGCCCUGACAGCUUUGGCUUCAUCCCAGUUUGCUGCUCGUUCAUAGUGGCAUCUGCUGACCAACACCGCAGAGGAGCAGGGGGUGAAUGUGUGCACAUGUGUCUUUGUCUUUCUAUGUGUCACUAGUGGGUUGGUGAGAGUGAGUAACUGGAUGGUGUCUGUGUGUGCAUGUGUACACUACCAGUCAAAAGUUUGGACAAACCUCCUCAUUUACUGUUUUUUCUUUAUUUUUACUACUACUGCUACAUUGUAGAUACAAACUGAAGACAUCGAAUAUAUGAAGCAAUAUGUGGAAUCAUGUAGCAAAGAAAAAAUUAUAAGUAACUCUAAAUAUGUUUUGUAUUUUAGAUUCCUGAAAGUAGCCACCCUUUGCUUUGUUGACAGUGCUACAAACACUUUGCCUUCUCCCAAUGAGUUUCAUGAUGAUGUCACCUGAAAUGGUUUUGACUUCACAGGUGUCCCUUGACAAGGUUCAUUUGUGAAACUUCUUACCUUCUUAAUGGAGUUGCGACCGUCAGUUGGGUUGUGCAAAAGUUGGGUUGGUACACAGCUGACAGCCCUAUUUGAAACUGUUAGAAUUCAUAUUAUGGCAAGAACCAAUCAAGUAAAGAGAAAUGACAGUCCAUCAUUACUUUAAGAACUGAAGCACUACAACUGGCUCACGCGAGAAUCGUCCCAGGAAAGGAAGACAAAGAGUAACCUCCGCUAGCUGAGGAUAAAUACAUCCGAGUCAUCAGACUCAGAAAUAGGAAGUUAACAGCAUCUCAGAUUAGACCAGAUAAAUGCCACACAGAGCUCCAGUAGCAGACACAUCUCUACAUCAACUGUUCAGAGGAGACUGCAUGAAUCUGGCCUUUAUGGUCAAAUAGCUGCUAAGAAACCAAUACUAAGGAAAAUGUCUCUUACAGAUCCAGCAGUUGGUGAUACAUCGUGCAUUCCUAUUUGUUUCUGUUCCCCCAUUCAACUCCUGAUGAAGGCACUCAUAUGGCCUUUACUGCUUUGUAUUAACAAAAUUGGCCAGCAAAUAUUUACAUAUUUCUCUUUAUUUUCCAGGUCAGAUAGUAAACACAGCUGUUCUCGCAUAAUGGGGAGAGUCUUGAACUAAUCCAGUAUUUUACAGGAGUUUUAUACUUUCAUUGGGACACCUGUUGUUUUUACUUAUUUAAACUGUACUCCUCAUUUCAAGAAUUUAAUUCCUGUUUCAGGAUCCACACAGCCCAAUACCUACAAUCGUACUCAGCAGCAGUGACGGCAAGCCCUUGAAUGAUUCAACUGAGGUCAAUGUCCAGAUGGAUGGACAAAAAAUGAUUCUGGACAAUGGACAUUUCAUUGGCGAUGGGUAUUGUCUUCUCCCUGUACCAUGUCUACAAUGUUGCCUAUCCAAGUGAACUAAAAAAGACAUUUUGCUUUUUGGAGGCAUUUGUUCUCAACUUGGGAACUCUGACUACACCUGUACCAGUAGCUGUGCAAAGAGUGGCAAAUGCAUUAAAUAUCUCCUAGACUGCCAGCAUAGUGCAGGUGAGAGACCGAUAUUGUCCCAAUAUGGACUAACAAAGGACCAUGAGUCCCACAUUAAACUUAACUUACAUAACUUAAGGCUGCAGUUCAUUGAUAAUUUAAAUAAAAAGAUUGUUCUUGAAAUAGUUUUACUGAAAAUGCAAACAUGCUGAUGAAAAUGUGUUGUUUAAUUGUCUGUUAUGAAAGUAUUGCUAUUUCUAAUGUAAUAAGUGUUGUUUUAUCUAUAGUAUAAUAUUUAUAUGUAUUUAUUUAUAGUAUAGUAAAGAUAUUUAGUUAUUACUGUUUAAAUGACUUAUAUGCUAUUAUUAGUAGUGGUGUUGUGCUUAGCGUUAAAAUGCCUUUUUGUCUUUUUCUGUAAUACAAAGUGCCAAUAAACCAUUAAUAUAUGUCUAUGUGCUUGUAUUUAUUUUACCCUACUCUAGUUAAUUCAAUUUAAGAUGCAUUUUAUUUUGAAAGAUUUAAAAUGGUUCUUUAAAGAACCACUCAGAAAAGGGUUCUUUAAGAUGGGUCUUUAAAGAACCACUUGAAAGACCUUUUUAAAAAUAGUUCUUCAAAGAACCAUUUUUUUAAAAAGGGGGCAAAAAAGCCACAGGUAUAUUACUACUUUCUAUGUAGCUAUUCUUGUAAAAGCAAAAUAUGUUAGGCACCACAGUGCAUUCAGAUCACAAUUCUGCUUGCAAAGCUGCCAGACAGUACAAAAAACAAACAAAAGAAAAAAACAAACAAGCAAACAGAAAUGCUUCACUGAUAUAUAUAACAAUCAUUUAUUUUCGUUGAAAACCAGACAGAGACCUGAGGCAGAGCUAACCAAAUCCAACUCCACCUGAGAAUAUUAAAAGGAAAGAAAGAAAGAUAAACACAAACAAAACCCCAAACCCACUCUCAGAGGGUUGAAUGGCAGUUUGAGGUGCGG